Molecule: ribosomal RNA, 253 nt
Filed under: uncultured bacterium
Lineage: Bacteria
Description: partial 16S ribosomal RNA
Rfam family: Bacterial small subunit ribosomal RNA
Source: RNAcentral
UACGUAGGGUGCGAGCGUUGUCCGGAAUUACUGGGCGUAAAGAGCUCGUAGGUGGUUUGUCGCGUUGUUCGUGAAAUCCCACGGCUUAACUGUGGGCGUGCGGGCGAUACGGGCAGACUGGAGUACUGCAGGGGAGACUGGAAUUCCUGGUGUAGCGGUGGAAUGCGCAGAUAUCAGGAGGAACACCGGUGGCGAAGGCGGGUCUCUGGGCAGUAACUGACGCUGAGGAGCGAAAGCUAGGGGAGCAAACAGG